GCCCUGGUAGCGCAAUUGGUUAGAGCGUGGGACUUUUAAUCCCAAGGCUGCGGGUUCGAAUCCCGCCUGGGGCG
RNAcentral lists this transfer RNA (74 nucleotides) under Gaeumannomyces tritici R3-111a-1. RNAcentral's name for it is "tRNA-Lys (TTT) (tRNA-Lys-TTT-1-1)". It matches the Rfam family "tRNA". From Rfam's summary of the family: Transfer RNA (tRNA) molecules are approximately 80 nucleotides in length. Their secondary structure includes four short double-helical elements and three loops (D, anti-codon, and T loops). Further hydrogen bonds mediate the characteristic L-shaped molecular structure. tRNAs have two regions of fundamental functional importance: the anti-codon, which is responsible for specific mRNA codon recognition, and the 3' end, to which the tRNAs corresponding amino acid is attached (by aminoacyl-tRNA synthetases). tRNAs cope with the degeneracy of the genetic code in two manners: having more than one tRNA (with a specific anti-codon) for a particular amino acid; and 'wobble' base-pairing, i.e. permitting non-standard base-pairing at the 3rd anti-codon position. The record is from RNAcentral. Lineage: Eukaryota; Fungi; Ascomycota; Sordariomycetes; Magnaporthales; Magnaporthaceae.